RNAcentral lists this ribosomal RNA (358 nucleotides) under uncultured amoeba. RNAcentral's name for it is "partial 18S ribosomal RNA". It matches the Rfam family "Eukaryotic small subunit ribosomal RNA", at positions 828 to 1188 of the family's 1831-position model. The record is from RNAcentral.
AUGGAAUACGACUUCGGUCUUGUUUCGKUGRUUUCGCUUGSCMGAAGUAAUGAUUGAUAGGGACAGUYGGGGGCAUUAGUAUUUAGUUGUCAGAGGUGAAAUUCUAGGAUUUACUAAAGACUGACCAAUGCGAAAGCAUUUGCCAAGGAUGUUUUCAUUAAUCAAGAACGAAAGUAGGGGGAUYGAAGACGAUCAGAUACCGUCGUAGUYUCUACCGUAAACUAUGCCGACCAGGGAUCCGGAGAGUUUGCAUGGAUGACUCCCCGGGCACCUUAGAGAAAUCMUAAGUGUUUGGGUUYUGGGGGGAGUAUGGUCGCAAGGCUGAAACUAAAGGAAUGACGAAGGCCCCMCURUUUGC